This 930-nucleotide ribosomal RNA is filed under the name Centrodinium intermedium. RNAcentral describes it as "partial large subunit ribosomal RNA". It matches the Rfam family "Eukaryotic large subunit ribosomal RNA", at positions 23 to 905 of the family's 3401-position model. Lineage: Eukaryota; Dinophyceae; Peridiniales; Ostreopsidaceae. The record is from RNAcentral.
ACCCGCUGAAUUUAAGCAUAUAAGUAAGUGGUGGAAAUUAAACCAAAUGGGAUUCCUUAAGUAAUUGCGAAUGAACAAGGACAUGCUUAGCUUGACAAAUGGAGCCUUUGGCUUUGACUUGUAUUGUUGAAAUGUAUUACCAACAGAGAUGCAGGUGUGAGCUUAUUGAAAGAAAGCGUUAAUGAGGGUGAGAAUCCUGUUUGUCAUGCGCAAUCCUUUGUGCACGGUAUAUGUUUGCUGAGUCCACUCCUUGGCAUUGGAAUGCAAAGUGGGUGGUAAGUUUCAUGUAAAGGUAAAUAUAGAAUUGAGAUGAUAGCACACAAGUACCCUGAGGGAAAUAUGAAAAGGACUUUGAAAAGAGAAUUAAAUGAGUUUGUAUUUGCUGAACAGAAAGUAAACAGACUUGAUUUUGCUGGGUGAGAUUGAGGUGCUUGCUUGACAACAGGUGUUGGCUGCAAGUGUGAUGAUUCUUGCUUUGCUUGCCAGUUUCCCUUUGUACAUUUGAUUACCCUUGCACAUGAAUGGUAAUUUUCUUGCGGGGUUUGGAUUGCAUGUGUUUGUGAUGAUUUGUGUUUUGAUGCAUGUGUCUGGUGAAUUUUGAUGGUGCUCACUUCUUUAGGGGGGGGGUUCUCCUCUUUCAGCUUUCAAAUCCUGACACACACUUGCUGGCAAAAUGCUUCUGCUUGACCCGUCUUGAAACACGGACCAAGGAGUCUAACAGAUGUGCAAGCUUGAGGGUUGCAUACCUUUGUGUACAAUGAAAGUGUUGGCUGGGAUAUUUGCACCAGCAGCCGACCGAUUAGCAGACAGAGGUUUGAGUUGGAGCAUAUCUAUUAGGACCCGAAAGAUGGUGAACUAUGCCUGAACAGAAUGAAUUCAGAGGAAACUCUGAUGGAGGUUCGUAUCGAUACUGACGUGCAAAUCGUUCGU